Molecule: long non-coding RNA, 785 nt
Organism: Monopterus albus (swamp eel)
Lineage: Eukaryota; Metazoa; Chordata; Actinopteri; Synbranchiformes; Synbranchidae
Exons: 3
Source: RefSeq, a predicted model, not a curated record
UCUCAUAUCGGAAAAUAAGGUUAAAUGUCGCAUUUGUUCGACAGAACUUUCCUACUUAAAUAAAUCCACCUCCUCAAUGCUGAGGCAUUAUAGGGCCAGGCAUGAGAGUGAAGUCCCAGAUACAACCAGGAUAAACUCAGACACCGCAUCUUCUAUGAAUAGGGGAGCAUCUUGUCAUCAACAAGCCACCCAUGGGACAAAAGGAGGAGAAGGAGGAGAACAGAUCGCCGUCUUGUCCGUCCAUCCAUUUGAUCCAUCUAAAUACACACCUGGUUUAUUCUCAGCAUGUCUCUACCAGCAUUAUCACUUUCCUCCUACUGACCUUUGCUGUCAGUUCAUGACAUAUCACAGCAAACUACUGGAAGUUUUACUGUUAAAAAAAAAAAAAUCUGUUUCUCUAAUGAUUGUUCUGUUCUGCAAUAGAUGAUUGUAAAAAGAAAUAGAUGAUUUCCUCAUGUGUUUUAGUGUUUAUUGUUCAAAAGUUCUUGUUUUUUUUUAGCCAUAGAUAAUGAUCCACAUGUGUGUGUUUCUGUGUCUUUCUGUGGGUGUCUGGACAAAUUUUUGUUCAGUGCUGCUGUUGUGUUGACAUUUUGGCCAGUCCUUGCAAUACCAAAGGGCUGUUUGAGGGUUAGCGUUCGGCUUUAGGGUUAGGGUUAGAAUUAGGUUCAUCUUAGAUUGGGGUUUGGCAGAAUGAGUGUCCUCACAACUAUAGAAAAACAAAUGUGUGUGUUUAAAUAGAUAUCAACAUGCAAAUACAUUAUUGCAAUAAAGCACAUAAACAUACA